This 254-nucleotide ribosomal RNA is filed under the name uncultured bacterium. RNAcentral's name for it is "partial 16S ribosomal RNA". It matches the Rfam family "Bacterial small subunit ribosomal RNA", at positions 524 to 776 of the family's 1533-position model. The record is from RNAcentral.
UACGUAAGGACCGAGCGUUGUCCGGAAUUACUGGGCGUAAAGAGCUCGUAGGUGGUUUGCCGAGUCGUCUGUGAAAUUCCGGGGCUUAACUCCGGACGUGCAGGCGAUACGGGCAUAACUUGAGUACUGUAGGGGAGACUGGAAUUCCUGGUGUAGCGGUGAAAUGCGCAGAUAUCAGGAGGAACACCGGUGGCGAAGGCGGGUCUCUGGACAGUAACUGACGCUGAGGUGCGAAAGCGUGGGGAGCGAACAGG